UGGGGGAUAUUGCACAAUGGGCGAAAGCCUGAUGCAGCGACGCCGCGUGGGGGAUGAAGGCCUUCGGGUUGUAAACUUCUUUUGCUCUGAACAAGGCGCACCAUGGGGUGUGUUGAGUGUAGGGGUUGAUUAGCGCCGGCUAACUACGUGCCAGCAGCCGCGGUAAUACGUAGGGCGCGAGCGUUGUCCGGAAUUAUUGGGCGUAAAGGGCUUGUAUGUGGCUGGUUGCGUCUGUCGUGAAAGCUCAUGGCUUAACUGUGGGUUUGCGGUGGGUACGGGCUGGAUUGAGUGCAGUAGGGGAGGCUGGAAUUCCUGGUGUGGCGGUGGAAUGCGCAGAUAUCAGGAGGAAUACCGGUGGCGAAGGCGGGUCUCUGGGCUGUUACUGACACUGAGGAGCGAAAGCAUGGGGAGCGAACAGG
Molecule: ribosomal RNA, 419 nt
Filed under: bacterium
Lineage: Bacteria
Description: partial 16S ribosomal RNA
Rfam family: Bacterial small subunit ribosomal RNA
Source: RNAcentral